This 477-nucleotide ribosomal RNA is filed under the name uncultured bacterium. RNAcentral's name for it is "SSU rRNA". It matches the Rfam family "Bacterial small subunit ribosomal RNA", at positions 26 to 523 of the family's 1533-position model. The record is from RNAcentral.
AGAACGAACGCUGGCGGCAUGCCUAACACAUGCAAGUCGAACGCUUCACCGGUUUCGGCCGGUGGGGAGUGGCGCACGGGUGAGUAGCGCGUGGGAACCUGCCCUGUUGUGGGGGAUAACCGAGGGAAACUUCGGCUAAUACCGCAUAAGCCGGUUGUCUUGAAAGAGAUGGCCGGGAAAGAUUUAUCGCGACAGGAGGGGCCCGCGUCGGAUUAGCUAGUUGGUGGGGUAACGGCCCACCAAGGCUGUGAUCCGUAGCUGGUCUGAGAGGAUGAUCAGCCACACUGGGACUGAGACACGGCCCAGACUCCUACGGGAGGCAGCAGUGGGGAAUAUUGGACAAUGGGCGCAAGCCUGAUCCAGCAAUGCCGCGUGAGUGAUGAAGGCCUUAGGGUUGUAAAGCUCUUUCGCCCGCGACGAUGAUGACGGUAGCGGGAGAAGAAGCCCCGGCUAACUUCGUGCCAGCAGCCGCGGUAA